RNAcentral lists this ribosomal RNA (831 nucleotides) under Nymphargus siren (Rio Coca cochran frog). Its description in RNAcentral is "partial 16S ribosomal RNA". It matches the Rfam family "Bacterial large subunit ribosomal RNA", at positions 1454 to 2581 of the family's 2925-position model. The record is from RNAcentral. Lineage: Eukaryota; Metazoa; Chordata; Amphibia; Anura; Centrolenidae.
CUAAUCCUACCCACCUAAAAACCCUUACACAUACUGAGUAAUUCUAUGUCCUCAUAGAAGAUUUCAUGUUAAAACUAGUAACAAGAAGAAAAACUUCUCCUAAAUGCAAGUGUAAAUCAGACAGGACACACCACUGACAAUUAACACUCGUGAGCAAAAAGUAGUAACUUAACAAGAAAACCCUACUGCACCAGAUGUUGACCUAACACCAGAGCAUUACAAGAAAGAUUUAAAGAAAAAGAAGGAACUCGGCAAACAUUAACCUCGCCUGUUUACCAAAAACAUCGCCUCUUGAAAAACAUAAGAGGUCCAGCCUGCCCAGUGACCCUGUUCAACGGCCGCGGUAUCCUAACCGUGCGAAGGUAGCGUAAUCACUUGUUCUUUAAAUAAGGACUAGUAUGAACGGCACCACGAAGGUUAUACUGUCUCCUCUUUCUAAUCAGUGAAACUAAUCUCCCCGUGAAGAAGCGAGGAUAAGUAUAUAAGACGAGAAGACCCUAUGGAGCUUUAAACCACGCAACACCUGCUCUAACCUAACCACUUCCAGAAAACCCCCAUUUACCCAUGCAGGAUGAUUGCCAGUUUUAGGUUGGGGUGACCGCGGAGCACAAGAUAACCUCCACGUUGAAAGGAGCCCCACUCCUUAGCCAAGAGCCACACCUCCCCGCAUCAACAAAAUGACAUUAAUUGACCCAAUAUAUUGACCAACGAACCAAGUUACCCUAGGGAUAACAGCGCAACACUUUAWGAGCCCCAUCGACAAGUGGGUUUAACCUCGAUGUUGGAUCAGGGUAUCCCGGUGGUGCAGCCGCUACCAAAGGUUCGUUUGUU